Molecule: ribosomal RNA, 359 nt
Filed under: uncultured Prevotella sp.
Lineage: Bacteria; Pseudomonadati; Bacteroidota; Bacteroidia; Bacteroidales; Prevotellaceae
Description: bacterial SSU rRNA
Rfam family: Bacterial small subunit ribosomal RNA
Source: RNAcentral
UGAGGAAUAUUGGUCAAUGGGCGCAGGCCUGAACCAGCCAAGUCGCGUGAGGGAGGACGGUCCUACGGAUUGUAAACCUCUUUUAUAAGGGAAUAAAGUGGGUCACGUGUGACUUUUUGCAUGUACCUUAUGAAUAAGGACCGGCUAAUUCCGUGCCAGCAGCCGCGGUAAUACGGAAGGUCCGGGCGUUAUCCGGAUUUAUUGGGUUUAAAGGGAGCGUAGGCCGGAGAUUAAGCGUGUUGUGAAAUGUAGUGGCUCAACCUCUGCACUGCAGCGCGAACUGGUCUUCUUGAGUACGCACAACGUGGGCGGAAUUCGUGGUGUAGCGGUGAAAUGCUUAGAUAUCACGAAGAACUCCG